This 497-nucleotide ribosomal RNA is filed under the name uncultured bacterium. RNAcentral's name for it is "partial 16S ribosomal RNA". It matches the Rfam family "Bacterial small subunit ribosomal RNA", at positions 28 to 507 of the family's 1533-position model. The record is from RNAcentral.
GACGAACGCUGGCGGCGUGCCUAAUACAUGCAAGUUGAGCGCUGAAGGUUGGUCCUUGUACCAACUGGCUGAGCAGCGAACGGGUGAGUAACGCGUGGGGAAUCUGCCUUUGAGCGGGGGACAACAUUUGGAAACGAAUGCUAAUACCGCAUAAAAACUUUAAACACAAGUUUUAAGUUUGAAAGAUGCAAUUGCAUCACUCAAAGAUGAUCCCGCGUUGUAUUAGCUAGUUGGUGAGGUAAAGGCUCACCAAGGCGAUGAUACAUAGCCGACCUGAGAGGGUGAUCGGCCACAUUGGGACUGAGACACGGCCCAAACGCCUACGGGAGGCAGCAGUAGGGAAUCGUCGGCAAUGGACGAAAGUCUGACCGAGCAACGCCGCGUGAGUGAAGAAGGUUUUCGGAUCGUAAAACUCGGUUGGUAGAGAAGAACGUUGGUGAGAGUGGAAAGCUCAUCAAGUGACGGUAACUACCCAGAAAGGGACGGCUAACUACGUG